CAGAUCCCUGAUAAGUUCCAUGCGGCAGCAAUUGUUGAUCUUCUUGACCUGAGGUUCCAAACCCUCUGCAUACAGUCGCUUAGGUAGCUCUAACUCCAUAUCUACAAAAGACAAAGAAAUGAUUUAGUGAAACGAAGUACGAAAUAAACUGAAACCAUAAGUCAGAAACAUAAUUAGUUAAGCAAACUAAGACAAUUCAGAAACGAAAUCAGUUUCACAAAUCAGGUAAGCUCGUCUCUUUUAGUUUUACAGAACAACUCGAUUCAAGUCAAAGAAACAAACUUUGCAGUGAAACAGAGACAAACAAAAAACAAAUAACCAAAUUCGCAAGUCAGAAACACAAAGACUAUCAUCAUGUUCAAUAACAAAAUCAAUUUAAAAACCCAUGCCAAACGAAAUCAAUUCACAAAAAUCAAAC
Molecule: long non-coding RNA, 418 nt
Filed under: Brassica napus (rape)
Lineage: Eukaryota; Viridiplantae; Streptophyta; Magnoliopsida; Brassicales; Brassicaceae
Description: long non-coding RNA (BNAP_LNC011270)
Source: RNAcentral